RNAcentral lists this long non-coding RNA (1168 nucleotides) under Gallus gallus (chicken). RNAcentral's name for it is "lncRNA (ENSGALG00010006888.1)". Lineage: Eukaryota; Metazoa; Chordata; Aves; Galliformes; Phasianidae. The record is from RNAcentral.
AGAAGAGUAUAGAUUGUAAAGCAGAGCUCUCUAUUCUUCUCAUUUUUGUGCAGCUUCGUAGUACAAAUGACAACCUGGCUGGAAUUGCUGCCUAAUAAAUGAAGGUUUUUAAUUUUUUUUUUCAUUCUGGUUGUGACAAGCAGUGAUUUUUUCUUUUUCUUUUUCUUUUUUUUUUUUUUUUGGUACAUGUUAAAAAAAGCUCAAUGAGCGGUAAUCUUAAUGAUGACUUAAAAAGAUUUCCUUUAAUCUUUGAAUGAGUGUGCCAUUAAUGCUUCUAAGUUGUUGAAUGUGAAGACUGUUUCAAACCUGUUUUGGUUGGCAAUCAAGUCAAACAGUGAAAUUGUUUUGCUAGAGUGUUGAUGUUUACUCUGCAGAAAUUAAUAGGCUUAAAUAAUCUGACUACAGUGUAAUUAUGUAAACAUUUUUACCUUUUUGAAGACUGAAGGGUUCAAGUCUGGCAGUGUUAUGCACGUAUAUAGCUUUAAGCAAACCUGACUAGUGAGACUGCUUGAAUGAACAAAGUUGGUUAAAUUUAGAAAUGUGUGCUAUAAUGGUUAAGGCAACAGGAAUAUCUCUUCCAAAUAAAUGUCACUGAAGGCUUUAGACCACCAUUCUGAUGUUUGUAAGGCCUCACCUUUUAUCUCCUUCUUGUGAAAUUACUGCAUUUCAAGCAAAUUGGCUGAAUUAACACUCAGUAUCUGACGAGUACAUCUGGCACAGAUUUUUUUUCAUAAUGUGAAUUUAGGAAGUUUUGUACCAGGAUCAUUUCUUCUGUUUUAUUUGUCAUGUUUUCAGCUUGAAGCUUUAUUUUGCACUGAUCACUCUGACCUGAAAGCAUUUAAAUUUGUGUCUUAAAGCUUGACAAAUUUCAAAGCAGAUAUGAAUAGUGUAUUCUAAGCAGAUUCAGUUACUGCCUGCUGACCUGGAAUUUAGUGUAUAUAGGAAUGAUUUCUUGAAAAAGGACUUUGUUAGUUUCCAUUUUGAAGGUUUUUCUUCCAAAUAACUAUUUUAUCUGAAAAUGCCUUUUAUAAACUUGUCUAACAUGUGGCAAACUUAGUGAUGUGUUCAAUUAAUUUAUAUUUUAUUGGACAUUCUUUUUUAAUUUUGGUUACUAUGUAAGCUCAAGUUCUUUAUCUGUUCUUGUAAGGUAUUUUAUAAAAUUAAUGUU